AGAGUUUGAUCCUGGCUCAGGACGAACGCUUGCGGCGUGCCUAAGAAAUGCAAGUCGAGCGGAUCAGGAGCAAUCCUGGUUAGCGGCGAACGGUCGCGUAACACGUAGGCAACCUGUCCGAGAGACCGGGACAACACUCCGAAAGGGGUGCUAAUACCGGAUGUGACCGAGAGAAGACCUCUUCUUUCGAUUAAAGCAUGCAAAUGGCUCUUGGAGGGGCCUGCGGCCUAUCAGCUAGAUGGCGGGGUAACGGCUCACCAUGGCGACGACGGGUAGCUGGUCUGAGAGGAUGGUCAGCCGGACUGGGACUGAGAUACGGCCCAGACUCCUACGGGGGGCAGCAAUUAGGAAUCUUGCGCAAUGGGCGAAAGCCUGACGCAGCGACGCCGCGUGGGGGAGGAAGUCCUUCGGGAUGUAAACCCCUUUUGACAAGGAAGAAAACAAUGACGGUACUUGUCGAAUAAGCCCCGGCUAACUACGUGCCAGCAGCCGCGGUAAUACGUAGGGGGCGAGCGUUGUCCGAAGUUACUGGGCGUAAAGCGCGCGUAGGCGGGGUAUUAAGUCCGCUGUGAAAGCCCGGAGCUCAACUCCGGAGGGUCGGUGGAUACUGAUACUCUUGAAGGUGCUAGGGGGAGAUGGAAUUACCGGUGUAGCGGUGAAAUGCGUAGAGAUCGGUAGGAACACCAGUGGCGAAGGCGGUCUCCUGGGGCAUACUUGACGCUGAGGCGCGAAAGCUGGGGGAGCGAACGGGAUUAGAUACCCCGGUAGUCC
This 771-nucleotide ribosomal RNA is filed under the name uncultured bacterium. RNAcentral describes it as "bacterial SSU rRNA". It matches the Rfam family "Bacterial small subunit ribosomal RNA", at positions 8 to 796 of the family's 1533-position model. The record is from RNAcentral.